This 504-nucleotide ribosomal RNA is filed under the name uncultured bacterium. RNAcentral's name for it is "partial 16S ribosomal RNA". It matches the Rfam family "Bacterial small subunit ribosomal RNA", at positions 28 to 523 of the family's 1533-position model. The record is from RNAcentral.
GAUGAACGCUAGUGGCAGGCCUAAUACAUGCAAGUCGAACGGGAUCUGAGGGUAGCUUGCUACCCGAUUUGAGAGUGGCGCACGGGUGCGUAACGCGUGAGCAACCUACCCAUAUCAGGGGGAUAGCCCGGAGAAAUUCGGAUUAACACCGCAUAAGAAUGUAUUAACACAUGUUAAAGCAUUUAAAUAUUUAUAGGAUAUGGAUGGGCUCGCGUGACAUUAGAUAGUUGGUGAGGUAACGGCUCCCCAAGGCGACGAUGUCUAGGGGCUCUGAGAGGAGAAUCCCCCACACUGGUACUGAAACACGGACCAGACUCCUACGGGAGGCAGCAGUAAGGAAUAUUGGUCAAUGGGCGGAAGCCUGAACCAGCCAUGCCGCGUGCAGGACGACUGCCCUAUGGGUUGUAAACUGCUUUUGUCGAGGAAUAAACCUAUCUACGUGUAGAUAGUUGAACGUACUCGAAGAAUAAGGAUCGGCUAACUCCGUGCCAGCAGCCGCAGUAA